This 6924-nucleotide long non-coding RNA is filed under the name Mytilus galloprovincialis (Mediterranean mussel). Lineage: Eukaryota; Metazoa; Mollusca; Bivalvia; Mytilida; Mytilidae. The record is from RNAcentral.
AUUUAUGUAUAAAUUAAAAAACAUUGAAUCAGGUUCUGGUAAGUUUAGUUUUUAUUUUCUACAUCUGAAUACUUUUUACGUAAUUCUGUUAGUUAAAAAAUGAUUUUGUAUUUGUCUUUUUUAUCUUAUUAUUUUUUUUUCCAUUUGCAAUCAUCUUAAAUUUGCUAUCUGGACCAAUAACCAAGCUCAUUCCAGGUAGUCUCUUUCUUUCAUUCCCCUGUCCAUAUCGUUCUUUUGUUUUAAUAUGUUUGAUGGUUCGUUUCAAAGCUGAAUUUCACUCAUGUUGUCAAAAAUAGUAAUUUAUCUCACUGUUUUCUGUUCUUCGGUUAGUCAUUUACUAAAAAUAGCCUAUUAACGAAUAGAGGUUUUUUUUAUUUCUAUUUAUAGUGUUAGUUUAAACAGUAUUUAUUAAUGAAAAAUGUCAAGACAAAUAUUACAAUGUUACAUAUGUUCAAAUAUGGGAUUCGGAAACAAGUUUGGAAAAACUUUUAUAAAUCCGUCUCACUAUUUAUAGUGUUGUAUUAGGUUUUAAAAGUUAUUGAAUAAUGCACAGUCAUACAGGGGCGGAUCCAGCCAUUUUAAAAAGGGGGGGUUCCCAACCCAGAGUAAAAGGGGGGGGUUCCAGCUAUAUGCUCCCAUUUAAAUGCAUUGAUCGGCAAAAAAAAAGGGGGGUUUCAACCCCCGGAACCCCCCCCCCCCCUUCUGGAUCCGCGCCUGGUCAUACCUUAUUGCAUGGGGUUGAAUGCAUACAUAAAUCAACAAAAUAAGUUUACAAUACAUCAUCAAAAAUAUAAAAGAACAAAUUUAACAUGAUAAACAUCAUUUUGAAUUAUGAGUAGUAAAUAUGAGUUAUAUAUAAUGAGACAAUUUGUGAUAGAGCGUAAAUAAGACGAUAUUUCUCUUAUCUGUUAAAGUCAUAAGAAACCUCAAAUUAAAAAAAAAUAAUGCAUAUGUUUUUUAUAUCUCAAUUGAUAGUUUUCAUUAUAAAACUUAUGUACAUAUACUUUUUUUCUGAAGAAAAUUCUUUAAUUUAUUCAUAUUUAGAAGAAGUUUACUUUCUUUUAAUUGCUUCCUCCUUCCAGGAAGCAAUUCCCCCGACAUAUAUGCAAAGUGACCUCAGUGUAACCCAUCUCGUAAAAAUCCGGUGAUCGCAAUACGCAUGGAUGACCUUAAGGUUCAUGUGGACCCUAUGGCUAAAAUGGCCGUAUUUUCACCUCAAAAUUUACUCUGAGUACAGACAAACCUGCGCAUCUGCAAAAAAUUCCAGGCACAGCAUGCCCUAGAUAAAUAAAUUUCAAAUAUGUUUUAUGUUUUAGAAAAAUAAAAACUUACCAGGAUUUUGCCGUGCACUUUUUUUCAUUCCUCCAGAAGGUGCCAAAAUAAACUAAGUUGGGAAACAGGUUAGAACUUUCCCACAGGUAAUAAUUGAAGUGAGCUGUAAUGCUUGACAUGGACAUGAGAUGGACAAUAGAUACCUAACAGUAGAGCAUUUGCAUUAAUCAAGUAUUUGCUGGCGUAUCCGUAUCGACGUAUCGUAUAACACGUAUAUGAGGAAAAGAUAAAAUAAGUCAAGUUGGUCCCGAUGAAAAUAUUAUAUAAUGCAUUAAAUUUUAAUUGAGAUCGGGGUAAAAUCAUUAUUUUAUACAAAUCUGCCCGAUACGUAUACUUAAACAAGUAUUUGCUGGCGUAUCCGAAUCGACGUAUCGUGUAACACGUAUAUGAGGAAAAGAUAAUUAAGUCAUGUUGGUCCUGAUGAAAAUAUUAUAUAAUACAUUUAAUUUUGAUUGCAAUCGGGGUAAAAUCAUUAUUGUAAACAAAUCUGUUCGAUCCGUAUACCUCGAUCCGUGCACGUAUUCUGAUACGUGAAUAAUGCAAAUGCUCUAAUAAUUGGUCAUUUAAACUGUGUACCUGAGUGGACCAUAUCAAGGUAAACUCAACUGUUUGUUAAUUUUAUCAUCUUCUGCAGAGACGAAAAAAAGUGUACGGAAAAAUCCAGUUAAGUUAUGAAUUUUCCAAUGAAUUUUCUAAUUCAUACAAUGCAUUUGAAUUCUAUUUAUCUAGGGCAUGCUAUGCCUUAAAACUUUUCCAAAUGCACAGGUUUGCCUGUACUCAGGGUAAAUUUUGAGGUGAAAAUACAGCCAUUUUAGCCAUAGGGUCCACAUGAACCUUAAAAUAAACAAUUAUCUGAAUUUACAUGUUGAACACGUGCUCAAUUUCCAUGCUUUUUUGUUGAUUUUAUGUUGAAACAGGUGACCAUCGUUAAACUUCGGCUUCAAUACACGAACUUAUCAACACUUCAAAACGAGACCAGGCAUUAUCAGCGACGUCACAAUGUGAGAGGAAAAGUUAUCAGCGACGUCACAAUGCGAGAGGAGACGUUAUCAAGCUUGCUUUUUCGUCAAGCGUAAAACUGGCUUAGAAAGAAAGAAAAGACCAGUAAUAGAACGAUAAAAAGAUAAUCGGGUUUUCUUCGUAAAGAUAUCAUAAAAUAUCAACCGCUCGACACAAUGUGAAACUUUUUAGCUCGUUUGCUGCGCUCACUCGCCAAAAAGGUUCACAUUGUGGCUCGAGGCUGAUAUUUUACGAUAUCAAUGUGUAGAAAACCCGAUAAUCUGUACAUAUAUAUCUAUACAAAGUUAGUCAUCCCCACGUUUUUUCGAAAUGACAAAUACUACGAUAAGGGUCAUAUGAUCCCGAAACAAAUGUUGUCAAAAAAACUAAUGCAGCCUGUUGGUACAUUACAUUUGCUUUAAGGGGAAACAAAAUUAAUCUAAAAUGAUAAUUUAAUGAUUAGAUUGUGACAAAACCACAAGUACAGUUUAAACACUAAAACAUGUCCAAUUUAAGUAUGGGUCUUCUGAGUUCGUUUUGCACGAUGCUAUUGUCAUUUCACUUAGAAAACGUUCAAUGUAAGUCUGUUAACUAUAUCCAUAGUUCAAUAUUCAACAUCGGGUGAAACCACCACGUGAUUGGAUGCAGCCGUCAUUCCUGCGUCUCAUCCAUCCAGUUAGCCGUCGGAUUUCCUGCUGUCGGUUUUCCGCCAUUCUUGGUGCAAUGCUGAUUCCAAAUGACGUAAUUUUUUACAGGUUGUUCGGCUGCCUAUUCCCGACGGCCUAACGUGUCCUAAAUAUGCUCUAUCGGAUUCGAUUGCGGGCUCAUUACAGGCCAAGGAAGAGCAGUUACUGCUUCGCAUUGACGAAAUGCGGUAACCGUCUUUGAAUGAUGCGGCCUAGUGUUGUCAUCCAUAAACACAAGUUGUGCAGCUAAUGAGUGGUUAUCAAAAUUAGGUUCAACUAAUGACUGAAUAACUUCUCUGAUGUAUUGUUCACCAUUAAGGUUUCCUCGCAUAGUCACCCAGUCUAAUUUGCAGUCAUGAGAGAUGUAACUCCAUACCAUCACAAUGCCUCCACCGAUAAAAUUAUCACCAGUGGUCUACCAGAUCUUGGCAAGUCUUCCGCGUUAACGUUAUUUGUUUUGAUGGGUUUUUUUUCGCACAAGCCUGCUGCAUACAGAACAUUGGUAGACCAGUAGCCCCUUUGACGUCCAAUAACUUUAUAAGAUAAUCCUGAUGACUGCAUGCCGAUAAACUGCCACAUUUGAACCUCCGAUAUUCGUCUUCGUAACAUGUUCACAGAGUAUGGAUAAAAUCUUUAAAUCGCCGGAUUAAAAUACUCAAAUUUGAAGCGCGGGGAAACUGCAUUUUUUAAUUUGCAUGGAGGCAUGGUUCACGUGUAUGCUACAGCGAUAUCUUAAUAACCGGUUAAACCUGUAUGGUCACAUCUUUAUAAAGGAACAUUGGUCUUGUUAAAUUAAUAUUAAUAUUCAAAUUAACAUUUUUGGUAAAAAGCUAUAAUGCAAUAUAUCAGGGGGUGCUUAAAUUUUUCUUUAUUUUCAAAACGCGGAACAAAUCCGAACAAAAAAAUAUGUCAGUCAAAUGUUUACUCCUCAACAUAACUGUGAAAUACGAUAGAGAAAAUAUGCAGUACUUAUGAAAAAACACAAAAGGCGAUGCAUGUCUAUGAAAUUAAUUACAAAUAACACGCUUUUUGUACCUAUAAUGGUCAUAUUUCAGUUUAUCGUGAUAUAUUUGAAAUUUAAUCUUUGGUGUAUCUGAUAGUACAGUAAAAUGAAGAUAUGUUCUUCUCUUAAAAGCAUUAAUUUAUAUAUGAAAACCUUAAAUUUAUUGAAUAUCCAUCAAACUUGAUCGUGAGAGAUCAGGCAACGCAUUAUUUUGAUCGUGAAAGAUAAUGCGUGACCAGACUUAUUACUAUUAAUCAGAAAUCAGUAUUUCUUUUACCAUUUGAUAAACCUGCAAGUGGUGGAAGCCUGUAACUAUUUUGAUAAGGAUAAACAUUCAAGCUAUUUUUUUUUUAUUCAACACAUUACCUCGAAGUUAAAAAAAACAACAACUGAAAAUGUCUCUAAAUAAGUUUGAAAGAUUCAGCUCUGAGAAUCGGUCAAGUGCAAUUCAGGCAGACCAACACUAUUUAGCCAAUAAUAUGGAUAUGCACCGUUUAAACCAAAAUGAUAUCCAUAAUGUCUCGUCUGCUUUACUUAUGAUAGUUAAUUUUUGGAACGUCUAUAAUAUCAAGGGUUUUACUAGAAGUGUCAAAUGCACUUAAUGCGCUUAAUGUAUCUUUUCCAUCUGAUGAGUUAAGCCUUUUAAAUUGAUAGUUCGUUCUUACGUUGUACUGUUAUACCACUGUCUCAGGUUAGGGGAGGGUUGGGAUUCCGCUAACAUGUCUAACCCGCCACAUUAUUUAUGUAUGUGCCUGUCCAAAGUCAGGAGCCUGUAAUUCAGUGGCUGUCGUUUGUUUAUGUAUUACAUAUUUGUUUUUCGUUCAUUUUUUUAUACAAAUAAAGCCGUUAGUUUUCUCGUUUGAAUUGUUUUACAUUGUCAUAUCGGGGCCUUUUAUAGCUGACUAUGCGAUAUGGGCUUUACUCAUUGUUGAAGGCCGCACGGUGACCUAUAGUUGUUAACGUCUGUGUCAUUUUGGUCUCUUGUGGAUAGUUGUCUCAUUGGAAUCAUACCACAUCUUCUUUUUUUUAAAUUAUGAUUGUCAAUGGUUCAUAAAAAGAGUGCAAGGUCAGAUGAACCAUGACAUACAGAUCUCUACAAAUAUUCCGUAGAACAAAUAAAUGUGUUCCGAUCCUUAUGAAAAAAAUCAUGUUUGUAUACAUUUUUUAUGUCAUUGAAAUGCCGAGAAGCAAUCUGCCUUUUGUUGUUUUGUAAUAACUAUGUACUUUUAAAACUGGAUAUUCUCACAUACUGAUCAUGAUGUUGAACCAUUUUGACAGACAGUUUUAUUUUGUCGUAAAUUUAUCCAUGUUAUCUGUGUAAUUUAUUAGAUUAGAAUAUGUAUUGAUCUUUCAUAUGUCUUCUCGAUUAAAUGUCUUUCACGAUCCGUUACCAGAACUUUCACGAUCGUCUCUCAAUACUUGACCGCCGUUAGAUAUUCUUUCACGAUCAUUUCUCUCGUUAAACCGAAUGAUACCCGUGAUAUAUGGCUCAUUUUAUUAAUCAAUACCAAAUAAAGUACCGACGCAUAUUUUACUUUCACUCUUAAAAGAUAAUUGAUGGAGUUUUCUUCGCUUUCAAAAUCUCUUUAAAGCAUUUUAUCAUAAAAAAGAGUUGAAUAUGUGUUGUAGAAAAUCUUCAAUGGAUGUUUGAUAUUGAAGACAUUAUGCUUCAAAAGACUGGUAUAUCAGGACUGCCUGUGCAUAAUAAAUUGAUUUGCCAGGAAACCGAAGUGGGUGAGUUUAAAGUUUAAAAUAAACUAACAUAAUUAAAUAAAUGCAUAUUAAAUCGUUUUGACAUUAUAUGUUCUCCAAAACAAGCAUUCCAGAUUUUGUCUUUAACAUCAUCUUUUAGCUGUAAAUAUGAUUUAAUUUUCAUUGCAGUGUGUGUUUUUUUAAACCCGCUCUGAAAUUUGAUUUCAAUUCCAGUUGGUUGUAACAACUUCCUGUAUAUUCCUUUAAAAUAAUGGAAUACAAGGAAAUUAGCAUCACUUAAUGUAAAUCUUUGAAUGCCUUUUACUGUCUUUUUAACGAAAUAUGUUAAACUAAGCCAUUGGCAGCAGCUUUGAUAUGAAAUCUGGUAUGUUACCACAAAGCGCUCUUACCAUUGCUUUGUUAUUUCAUUUUAUGAUUAAUUUUGUGUUGUUUAUUAAUACAUAAAUAUAUUGAAAACGGUACCAGUUUUACUCCACCAGAUGCGCAUUUUGAGUAUGUAUGUCUCUUCAGUGAUACAGAACUCAAAAACAUGAAAGAUACGUUAAAAUCUGAUAUAUUCGAAACAAACAAAAAUACUGAUAAUAAGGAAGAGAUAUUAGAGCUAUGCACUUGGAAGAUCAGUUCUUUCAUAUCAUAUGACAUUAUAUUUUGACAACUUGCGAAUUUUAAUUAUUUAAAAAAAUAUACAUAUUUGUAAACCAGUCCUAUAAUGCUUCAGUACUAGACUUGACGAUACACUCGGGGAUCAUUAACAGAGGUAUAAACCUAUGUAGAGGAAGAAAUUAGUUUAAACAUUACCAGUUUUACUUACUUGUAUAGCAACGAGAUAGCAACUCACCAAGCAAACUUAACCAAGUUAUGAGAUCCCAUACCGUCUCAUAGAUUGCCUUAAAAAAACUAAAUGUCAUUCCCAUAUGUAAAAUUCUAAAGACAUUGCGUCUAGGCAAAAUUGAUACAAAUCAGCAAAGAUCAACAACAUGUCUUUAUGAAAACAAAACACAAAACAAAUAAUUUCAAACCUUGAACAGUUGAAUACGGAGAGUAUUAUAAGUAUUACAAUUGUUAUCUUAUUAAUUAUGUAGUUUCUUAUCUUUAUUAGGCAAAUACAAACCAUCUGGAAUAGCAACAAGUACUUCAAAGCAGGAUAUUAAACUGCAGACAAUCUUUAAAAGUAGAAACUUUGUAUUAAAU